UCCGAGUUGACCCCGGCAGUCUCCCAUGAGUCCCCGGCAUUACCCGCUUGCAGCACCAUGUCAAGUCCAGGUAAGGUUCUUCGCGUUGCAUCGAAUUAAAGAACAUGCUCCGCUGCUUGUGCGGGCCCCCGUCAAUUCUUUUGAGUUUUAGCCUUGCGGCCGUACUCCCCAGGCGGGACACUUAACGCGUUAACUGCGGCACAGAGGGAUUCGACUCCCCCCACACCUAGUGUCCAUCGUUUACGGCUAGGACUAC
Molecule: unclassified non-coding RNA, 256 nt
Filed under: uncultured Rubrobacterales bacterium
Lineage: Bacteria; Bacillati; Actinomycetota; Rubrobacteria; Rubrobacterales
Description: contains 16S-23S intergenic spacer region
Source: RNAcentral